GACGGAGGAGGCAAGCGUUAUUCGGAAUUAUUGGGCGUAAAGGGCGCGUAGGCGGUUUCUUAAGUCAGAUGUGUAAUCCCCGAGCUUAACUUGGGAACUGCAUCUGAGACUGGGAGGCUAGAGUACUGGAGAGGGUGGUGGAAUUCCUCGUGUAGCGGUGAAAUGCGUAGAGAUGAGGAGGAACACCAGUGGCGAAGGCGGCCACCUGGACAGUAACUGACGCUGAGGCGCGAAAGUGUGGGUAGCAAACAGG
RNAcentral lists this ribosomal RNA (253 nucleotides) under uncultured bacterium. Its description in RNAcentral is "partial 16S ribosomal RNA". It matches the Rfam family "Bacterial small subunit ribosomal RNA", at positions 524 to 776 of the family's 1533-position model. The record is from RNAcentral.